UACGUAGGGUGCAAGCGUUAAUCGGAAUUACUGGGCGUAAAGCGUGCGCAGGCGGUUUUGUAAGUCUGACGUGAAAUCCCCGGGCUCAACCUGGGAAUUGCGUUGGAGACUGCAAGGCUAGAAUCUGGCAGAGGGGGGUAGAAUUCCACGUGUAGCAGUGAAAUGCGUAGAGAUGUGGAGGAACACCGAUGGCGAAGGCAGCCCCCUGGGUCAAGAUUGACGCUCAUGCACGAAAGCGUGGGGAGCAACAGGA
This 253-nucleotide ribosomal RNA is filed under the name uncultured bacterium. Its description in RNAcentral is "partial 16S ribosomal RNA". It matches the Rfam family "Bacterial small subunit ribosomal RNA", at positions 524 to 777 of the family's 1533-position model. The record is from RNAcentral.